This 161-nucleotide ribosomal RNA is filed under the name uncultured bacterium. Its description in RNAcentral is "partial 16S ribosomal RNA". It matches the Rfam family "Bacterial small subunit ribosomal RNA", at positions 358 to 511 of the family's 1533-position model. The record is from RNAcentral.
GGAAUCUUCCACAAUGGACGAAAGUCUGAUGGAGCAACACCGCGUGAGUGAAGAAGGGUUUCGGCUCGUAAAGCUCUGUUGUUAAAGAAGAACACGUAUGAGAGUAACUGUUCAUACGUUGACGGUAUUUAACCAGAAAGUCACGGCUAACUACGUGCCAG